This 465-nucleotide ribosomal RNA is filed under the name uncultured bacterium. Its description in RNAcentral is "partial 16S ribosomal RNA". It matches the Rfam family "Bacterial small subunit ribosomal RNA", at positions 28 to 507 of the family's 1533-position model. The record is from RNAcentral.
GACGAACGCUGGCGGCGUGCUUAACACAUGCAAGUCGAACGGAAAGGCCCUGCUUGCAGGGUACUCGAGUGGCGAACGGGUGAGUAACACGUGGGUGAUCUGCCCUGCACUUCGGGAUAAGCCUGGGAAACUGGGUCUAAUACCGGAUAGGAGCCAUUUUUAGUGUGAUGGUUGGAAAGUUUUUUCGGUGUAGGAUGAGCUCGCGGCCUAUCAGCUUGUUGGUGGGGUAAUGGCCUACCAAGGCGGCGACGGGUAGCCGGCCUGAGAGGGUGGACGGCCACAUUGGGACUGAGAUACGGCCCAGACUCCGACGGGAGGCAGCAGUGGGGAAGAUUGCACAAGGGGCGCAAGCCUGAUGCAGCGACGCCGCGUGGGGGAUGACGGCCUUCGGGUUGUAAACUCCUUUCGCUAGGGACGAAGCUUUUUGUGACGGUACCUAGAUAAGAAGCACCGGCUAACUACGUG